This 255-nucleotide ribosomal RNA is filed under the name uncultured bacterium. Its description in RNAcentral is "partial 16S ribosomal RNA". It matches the Rfam family "Bacterial small subunit ribosomal RNA", at positions 524 to 776 of the family's 1533-position model. The record is from RNAcentral.
UACGGGGGGAGCAAGCGUUGUUCGGAUUUACUGGGCGUAAAGCGUGCGCAGGCGGUCUGUUAAGACCGAUGUGAAAUCCCCGGGCUUAACCUGGGAACUGCAUUGGUGACUGGCAGGCUUUGAGUGUGGCAGAGGGAGGUAGAAUUCCACGUGUAGCAGUGAAAUGCGUAGAGAUGUGGAGGAAUACCGAUGGCGAAGGGCAGCCUCCUGGGCCAACACUGACGCUCAUGCACGAAAGCGUGGGGAGCAAACAGG